This 520-nucleotide ribosomal RNA is filed under the name uncultured Paraglomus. RNAcentral describes it as "SSU rRNA". It matches the Rfam family "Eukaryotic small subunit ribosomal RNA", at positions 569 to 1095 of the family's 1831-position model. The record is from RNAcentral. Lineage: Eukaryota; Fungi; Glomeromycota; Glomeromycetes; Paraglomerales; Paraglomeraceae.
AGCAGCCGCGGUAAUUCCAGCUCCAAUAGCGUAUAUUAAAGUUGUUGUGGUUAAAAAGCUCGUAGUUGAACCUUGGGCCUGGCUGGCCGGUCCGCCUCACCGCGUGUACUGGUCCGGCCGGGCCUUUCCCUCUGUGGAACCCCAUGCCCUUCACUGGGUGUGGCGGGGAAACAGGACUUUUACUUUGAAAAAAUUAGAGUGCUCCAGGCAGGCCUAUGCUCGAAUACAUUAGCAUGGAAUAAUAAAAUAGGACGUGUGGUUCUAUUUUGUUGGUUUCUAGGACCGCCGUAAUGAUUAAUAGGGACAGUCGGGGGCAUCAGUAUUCAAUUGUCAGAGGUGAAAUUCUUGGAUUUAUUGAAGACUAACUACUGCGAAAGCAUUUGCCAAGGAUGUUUUCAUUAAUCAGGAACGAAAGUUAGGGGAUCGAAGACGAUCAGAUACCGUCGUAGUCUUAACCAUAAACUAUGCCGACUAGGGAUCGGACGAUGUUAUAUUUUGACUCGUUCGGCACCUUACGGGA